CCUACGGGUGGCAGCAGUGAGGAAUAUUGCUCAAUGGCCGAGACGCUGAAGCAGCAACGCCGCGUGGAGGAUGAAGGCUUUCGGGUUGUAAACUCCUUUUGUUAGAGAAGAUAAUAACGGUAUCUAACGAGUCAGCACCGUCUAACUCCGUGACAGCAGCCGCAGUAAUACGGAGGGUGCAAGCGUUCCUCGGAAUAACUGGGCUUAAAGAGCGCGUAGGCGGGAUAGCAGGUCAGAUGGGAAAUCCUCUGGCUUAACCAGAGAACUGCAUUUGAAACUGUUAUUCUAGAGUAUGCGAGAGGUAGGUGGAAUGCGUGGUGUAGGGGUAAAAUCCGUAGAGAUCAAGAGGAAUACUCAUUGCGAAGGCGACCUGCUAGAACAUAACUGACGCUGAUGCGCGAAAGCGUGGGGAGCAAACAGGAUUAGAUACCCCUGUAGUC
Molecule: ribosomal RNA, 440 nt
Filed under: uncultured bacterium
Lineage: Bacteria
Description: partial 16S ribosomal RNA
Rfam family: Bacterial small subunit ribosomal RNA
Source: RNAcentral